UUGUGCAUUGUUAAAAAGAUU
Non-coding RNA from Caenorhabditis elegans, 21 nucleotides. NCBI's taxonomy places the organism in Eukaryota, Metazoa, Nematoda, Chromadorea, Rhabditida, Rhabditidae. The record is from Ensembl.